RNAcentral lists this ribosomal RNA (423 nucleotides) under uncultured bacterium. Its description in RNAcentral is "bacterial SSU rRNA". It matches the Rfam family "Bacterial small subunit ribosomal RNA", at positions 207 to 622 of the family's 1533-position model. The record is from RNAcentral.
AAGACCUUGCGCUUUUGGAGCGGCCGAUGUCUGAUUAGCUUGUUGGUGAGGUAAAGGCUUACCAAGGCUUCGAUCAGUAGCUGGUCUGAGAGGACGGCCAGCCACACUGGGACUGAGACACGGCCCAGACUCCUACGGGAGGCAGCAGUGGGGAAUUUUGGCCAAUGGGGGCAACCCUGAUCCAGCCAUGCCGCGUGAGUGAAGAAGGCCUUCGGGUUGUAAAGCUCUUUCAGCCGGAACGAAACGGUUACGGUUAAUACCCGUAACUACUGACGGUACCGGAAGAAGAAGCACCGGCUAACUACGUGCCAGCAGCCGCGGUAAUACGUAGGGUGCAAGCGUUAAUCGGAAUUACUGGGCGUAAAGCGUGCGCAGGUGGUUUUGUAAGUCAGAUGUGAAAUCCCCGGGCUUAACCUGGGAACU